This 77-nucleotide transfer RNA is filed under the name Salinisphaera sp. RNAcentral's name for it is "tRNA-Arg". It matches the Rfam family "tRNA". Rfam says of the family: Transfer RNA (tRNA) molecules are approximately 80 nucleotides in length. Their secondary structure includes four short double-helical elements and three loops (D, anti-codon, and T loops). Lineage: Bacteria; Pseudomonadati; Pseudomonadota; Gammaproteobacteria; Salinisphaerales; Salinisphaeraceae. The record is from RNAcentral.
GGGGCCAUAGCUCAGUUGGAUAGAGCGGCCGCCUCCUAAGCGGCAGGUCGCAGGUUCGAAUCCUGCUGGCCCCACCA